GUAGGGCGGGACACGUGGUAUCCUGUCUGAAUAUGGGGGGACCAUCCUCCAAGGCUAAAUACUCCUGACUGACCGAUAGUGAACCAGUACCGUGAGGGAAAGGCGAAAAGAACCCCGGCGAGGGGAGUGAAAAAGAACCUGAAACCGUGUACGUACAAGCAGUGGGAGCACAGAGCAAUCUGUGUGACUGCGUACCUUUUGUAUAAUGGGUCAGCGACUUAUAUUCUGUAGCAAGGUUAACCGAAUAGGGGAGCCGAAGGGAAACCGAGUCUUAACUGGGCGUUAAGUUGCAGGGUAUAGACCCGAAACCCGGUGAUCUAGCCAUGGGCAGGUUGAAGGUUGGGUAACACUAACUGGAGGACCGAACCGACUAAUGUUGAAAAAUUAGCGGAUGACUUGUGGCUGGGGGUGAAAGGCCAAUCAAACCGGGAGAUAGCUGGUUCUCCCCGAAAGCUAUUUAGGUAGCGCCUCGUGAAUUCAUCUCCGGGGGUAGAGCACUGUUUCGGCAAGGGGGUCAUCCCGACUUACCAACCCGAUGCAAACUGCGAAUACCGGAGAAUGUUAUCACGGGAGACACACGGCGGGUGCUAACGUCCGUCGUGAAGAGGGAAACAACCCAGACCGCCAGCUAAGGUCCCAAAGUCAUGGUUAAGUGGGAAACGAUGUGGGAAGGCCCAGACAGCCAGGAUGUUGGCUUAGAAGCAGCCAUCAUUUAAAGAAAGCGUAAUAGCUCACUGGUCGAGUCGGCCUGCGCGGAAGAUGUAACGGGGCUAAACC
RNAcentral lists this ribosomal RNA (777 nucleotides) under Escherichia coli. Its description in RNAcentral is "partial 23S ribosomal RNA". It matches the Rfam family "Bacterial large subunit ribosomal RNA", at positions 412 to 1188 of the family's 2925-position model. The record is from RNAcentral. Lineage: Bacteria; Pseudomonadati; Pseudomonadota; Gammaproteobacteria; Enterobacterales; Enterobacteriaceae.